CUUAACACAUGCAACUCNAACNGGCUCUUCCGANCUAGUGGCGGACGGGUGAGUAAUACAUAGGUAAUCUGCCUUUAAGUGGGGGACAACCAGCCGAAAGGUUGGCUAAUACCGCGUAAUGUUGUUGGUUGAGAUACUGACAAAGAAAGAUUUAUCGCUUUUAGAGGAGCCUAUGGUUGAUUAGCUAGUUGGUGGGGUAAAAGCCUACCAAGGCGACGAUCAAUAGCUGGUCUGAGAGGACGAUCAGCCACACUGGGACUGAGACACGGCCCAGACUUCUACGGAAGGCAGCAGUGGGGAAUUUUCCGCAAUGGGCGCAAGCCUGACGGAGCGACGCCGCGUAUGGGAUGAAGUAUUUCGGUAUGUAAACCAUUGUCAGUGGGGACGAAACAAAUGACGGUACCCACAGAGGAAGCAUCGGCUAACUACGUGCCAGCAGCCGCGGUAAUACGUAGGAUGCAAGCGUUGUUCGGAAUUACUGGGCGUAAAGA
RNAcentral lists this ribosomal RNA (491 nucleotides) under uncultured bacterium. RNAcentral's name for it is "bacterial SSU rRNA". It matches the Rfam family "Bacterial small subunit ribosomal RNA", at positions 47 to 566 of the family's 1533-position model. The record is from RNAcentral.